UUGAACAACAAAAUUUGGAAACUUUAUUUCCAGAUGGAGAAGGGAAUAUACCAUUAACAAGAAUUCCUGAUGAUGAAGAAAAUAUACAUGAAGAAGACUAAUGACAAAGUUUCAGCCCCUACCCAAAAUAGAAGUGGCCAACCAUCAUCUAUAAUGUGUCCACCUACGCCUCAUCCAUCUUGCCCAACACGUCACAUGAAUUCCCAUCCUAUAGAGAAUAAUAAUGAGCAACCUCCACC
This is a long non-coding RNA of Vigna unguiculata (cowpea), 239 nucleotides long. The record is from RefSeq and is a predicted model, not a curated record. NCBI's taxonomy places the organism in Eukaryota, Viridiplantae, Streptophyta, Magnoliopsida, Fabales, Fabaceae.